RNAcentral lists this ribosomal RNA (119 nucleotides) under Haplochromis burtoni (Burton's mouthbrooder). Lineage: Eukaryota; Metazoa; Chordata; Actinopteri; Cichliformes; Cichlidae. The record is from RNAcentral.
GCUUACGGCCAUACCACCCUGAGCACGCCCGAUCUCGUCUGAUCUCGGAAGCUAAGCAGGGUUGGGCUUGGUUAGUACUUGAAUGGGAGACCGUCUGGGAAUACCAGGUGCUGUGAGCU